AAUUUCUUUGCUACUUUUUCACUAUGUUUCAUUCAUGUGAGAGGCAAGAGAAGGUGCCCAGUCCAUGUGUCCCACUUGUCUGGAAGAACGUUUGGAGUCUGGCAGUCUGGUUGUUUUCGUAGCUCCAGAGGAUUUUUAGGAGCAUGGGGAGCAUGGGAUGCAUCAACCUGUGGACCACAAAACCCUCUGGAGAAUGUUGGCUGUGGAUAAAAGCAUCUGGAAGUUUCUACCAUCUUUUUACCCUGUUUUUUCCCGGGUUACCCUGUGUCAUUUGUGGCCCUGUCCUGAGGAUUAUGGCAAACAGUCACUUACUGGAAUUCCUCCUCAUGUAUCUUCUUGAAAUGGAGCCACUGCUUUACCCAGCUGGAAGAUAUUUUCUCCCAGAGCUCUUCCAGUGCAGCAGCAGCACUCCUGUCCAGCAGCUGUUUGAUAAAGACGUUGCAAACCAGAUCUCCUCUUGUUGCUGUAAGAUGUGAAAAGGUCCUUU
Molecule: long non-coding RNA, 487 nt
Filed under: Serinus canaria (Common canary)
Lineage: Eukaryota; Metazoa; Chordata; Aves; Passeriformes; Fringillidae
Description: lncRNA (ENSSCAG00000007612.1)
Source: RNAcentral